RNAcentral lists this unclassified non-coding RNA (1215 nucleotides) under uncultured fungus. RNAcentral's name for it is "sequence contains 18S rRNA gene, ITS1, 5.8S rRNA gene, ITS2, 28S rRNA gene". The stretch from base 360 to 1215 matches the Rfam family "Eukaryotic large subunit ribosomal RNA", at positions 1 to 961 of the family's 3401-position model. The record is from RNAcentral. Lineage: Eukaryota; Fungi.
GGAUGGAUCAUUCCUGAAAAACAAUAGCAACUCUUGCACCAAUUGAAUCCAACAUCCUGAUAACGGCAGCACAACAUCUAAAAACUUUCAGCGAUGGAUGACUCGACUCUCGCACCGAGGAAGGACGCAGCAAACCGCGAUAAGCAGUAUGACUUGCGAAAUUUCGAAAUACACCAGAUAUCUGAACGCAAAGGUACUUCUAGCCUACGCUUGGAGUAUGUUUGGCUCGGCAUCAUAUAGAAAUUCAGACUAUGUGUUUGAACUACAAGCAGCGUUCAAUCAUCGCUGAGUAGAUGAUGCUACCUGCUAAAGCUCCGUCAGUAGACUUCAGAGCUAAGCAGCAGGCAAUAUAACCCUUGUGAUCCGAGCUCAAACAAGAUUACCCGCUGAAUUUAAGCAUAUAAUUAAGCGGAGGAAAAGAAACCAACUGGGAUUCCCGUAGUAGUGGCGAACGAAGUGGGAAAAGCCCGCGAUGUAAAUCCACUAUGGUGGAGUUGUGCAUCAGGAUUUAGGCUAUUUGAGAAUGGGGAAUAAGAUGCCUGGAAAGGUACGCCAAAGAAGGUGACAGCCCUGUUGUUGCCCACAUUUCUCGAAAAACAGCCUUGAUCCAGUGAGUCACGCUCUUUGGGAGUAGAGCGCAAAAAGGGUGGUAACCUCCAUCCACGGCUAGAUAAUGGCGAGAGAUCGAUAGCAAACAAGUACCGUGAGGGAAAGUUGAAAAGCACUUCGAAAGGAGAGUUAAAAUACCUGAAAUCGCUGAGGGGGAAGCGGCUGUCCAUGACCGUAUGCAAACGGCUUGCCGGUGCAUUACUCGACAUCACUUGUUUUCUUUCAGAUCAGAGAUCGCUUCGGUUAUCUCUGGGGUCUGUAUCAUUAUGAGUGGGGAUCACCUCUGCAAAUUGUCGAGAGUGGCAUGUACAGACGACCCGUCUUGAAACACGGACCAAGGAGUUAAACGAAAGUGCGAGUGUAAGGGCGAUAAACCCAGACGCGCAGUGAAAGCAAAAGCUGUGAAUCACAAUGCAACAGCGGCCGACUGAAGUUCGAGCUUGAGCAUUUUCGUUUAGACCCGAAAGAUGGUGACCUAUACCUGAGUUGGGUGAAGCCAGGGGAAACUCUGGUGGAAGCUCGUAGCGAUACUGACGUGCAAAUCGUUCGUCAAACUUGGGCAUAGGGGCGAAAGACUAAUCGAACCAUCUAGUAGCUGGUUCCCUC